CCCUUAGAUGUUCUGGGCCGCACACGCGCUACACUGAAGGAGGCAGCGUGUACUCCUGGAUCGAAAGAUUUGGGUAACCCGCGAAUCUCCUUCGUGCUAGGGAUUGAGGUUUGCAAUUAUCCUUCAUGAACGAGGAAUUCCCAGUAAGUGCAAGUCAUAAGCUUGCGCUGACUACGUCCCUGCCCUUUGUACACACCGCCCGUCGCUCCUACCGAUUGAGUGAUCUGGUGAAUAAUUCGGACUGCAGCACUGCUUGGUCUCCAGGCUUUGCAGCGGAAAGUUUAGUGAACCUUAUCGCUUAGAGGAAGGAGAAGUCGUAACA
This 322-nucleotide ribosomal RNA is filed under the name uncultured eukaryote. Its description in RNAcentral is "partial 18S ribosomal RNA". It matches the Rfam family "Eukaryotic small subunit ribosomal RNA", at positions 1470 to 1796 of the family's 1831-position model. The record is from RNAcentral.